AGAAUCAACGCUGGCGGCGUGCCUAACACAUGCAAGUCGAACGAGAAAGUGGAGCAAUCCACGAGUAAAGUGGCGCACGGGUGAGUAACACGUGACUAACCUACCCUGGAGUGGGGGAUAACUGAGGGAACCUUAGCUAAUACCGCAUAAUACCCACGGGUCAAAGGAGCAAUUCGCUUCAGGAGGGGUCGCGGCCGAUUAGUUAGUUGGCGGGGUAAUGGCCCACCAAGACGAUGAUCGGUA
This 243-nucleotide ribosomal RNA is filed under the name uncultured bacterium. RNAcentral's name for it is "partial small subunit ribosomal RNA". It matches the Rfam family "Bacterial small subunit ribosomal RNA", at positions 26 to 285 of the family's 1533-position model. The record is from RNAcentral.